UGAGGAAUAUUGGGCAAUGCCCGCAAGGGUGACCCAGCAACGCCGCGUGGAGGAUGAAUGUCGUAAGAUUGUAAACUCCUGUUAGAGGGGAAGAAUAGUACCGGUUGGACCGGUAUAUGACUGUACCCUCAGAGAAAGCCCCGGCUAACUACGUGCCAGCAGCCGCGGUAAUACGUAGGGGGCAAGCGUUGUCCGGAUUUACUGGGUGUAAAGGGCGCGCAGGCGGGAUAAAAAGUCAGUGGUGAAAUCCUACAGCUUAACUGUAGACCUGCCUUUGAUACUUUUAUUCUUGAGUUCGGGAGAGAGAGACGGAAUUCCAGGUGUAGUGGUGAAAUACGUAGAUAUCUGGAAGAACACCAGUUGCGAAGGCGGUCUCUUGGUCCGACACUGACGCUGAGGCGCGAAAGCGUGGGGAGCAAACA
Molecule: ribosomal RNA, 422 nt
Filed under: uncultured bacterium
Lineage: Bacteria
Description: bacterial SSU rRNA
Rfam family: Bacterial small subunit ribosomal RNA
Source: RNAcentral